Molecule: long non-coding RNA, 320 nt
Organism: Lagopus leucura (white-tailed ptarmigan)
Lineage: Eukaryota; Metazoa; Chordata; Aves; Galliformes; Phasianidae
Exons: 4
Source: RefSeq, a predicted model, not a curated record
GUUGGAGGUUCUUCCUUUGUGGAGUUUUCUCUGUGAGCCUAGGUCUUUGGAGAUGGAAAAGGACUUCAGCAAGAGACUGAAACAUGGGGUCAAGGCCUUUACAGGAUCAAGCCAUCAUACAGAGGAAAACAUUCAGUAACUUCCAUUCAGCUAAAGUUCUGGAAAGUUUCAGAGGAGACUGUGAAUGCCACAGAUGAAUGAAAGCCUCUCAACGUGAUGGUGGAAAAUAUAUUAGAAGAAGACAUCAGCUACAAGCAGUCAAAGCUAUCGGCGGUGGCAUCAUUAGGACUGCUUCAAAAAUACAGAAAGUAUAAACCGCC